Molecule: ribosomal RNA, 253 nt
Filed under: uncultured bacterium
Lineage: Bacteria
Description: partial 16S ribosomal RNA
Rfam family: Bacterial small subunit ribosomal RNA
Source: RNAcentral
UACAGAGGUCCCAAGCGUUGUUCGGAUUCACUGGGCGUAAAGGGUGCGUAGGUGGUGAGGUAAGUCGGAUGUGAAAUCUCCGAGCUCAACUCGGAAAUGGCAUUGGAAACUACCUUGCUAGAGGAUUGGAGGGGAGACUGGAAUGCUUGGUGUAGCAGUGAAAUGCGUAGAUAUCAAGCGGAACACCAGUGGCGAAGGCGAGUCUCUGGACAAUUCCUGACACUGAGGCACGAAAGCCGGGGGAGCAAACAGG